This is a long non-coding RNA of Pseudophryne corroboree (corroboree frog), 1062 nucleotides long. RefSeq lists it as uncharacterized. The record is from RefSeq and is a predicted model, not a curated record. The transcript is spliced from 3 exons. Lineage: Eukaryota; Metazoa; Chordata; Amphibia; Anura; Myobatrachidae.
CUUCCGCAAACGUGGCCAUUUAUCAUUUAAGCCAUCUCCAAAGCACCCAUUAAAAGUACAUGUGUGGGGUGGUAUCUCCCGCAGAGGCCCAGGACCAAUUUUAAUUUUUGAAGGUAUCAUGGAUAAAACAUUCUUCCAGUCCAUGAUCAUUAAUGAUACUUUAGUGCCGUAUGUAAGAAAGUAUUGGUCAUCUGGACAUCGAAUGUUCCAGGACAAUGAUCCAAAACAUAGUGCUUCGGCCAAAUUCAUAGAGGAAAAAGGCAUCAUUUGGUAACGCACACCACCAGAAUCACAGGACAUGAAUCCUAUCGAGCUAGUGUGGUCUCAAAUGAAAAGUUAUAUUCGUUCUCAAUGUAAGCCAAGGACAAAAGAGCAACUGAUUGAUGGCAUCAAUACAUUUUGGAAAAACGUACUUACAUUGGAGACCUGUAAUAAUUAUGUAGACCAUUUAUUUUCUGUGCUGCCAGUGAUUAUAGAAAGAAAUGGACAAGCCAGCUGCAUGUAAUUGGAAUGGAUCAUAUUGUCGACAAAAAGAAGGUCAACAGUCAUUAGGUCGACCAAUAUUGGUCGACAGGCCAUAUGUCGACACAUCAAAAAAGACAGUACGCAAACGAAUAAUGCAUAGAAUUUGCAUAAAGGGCCCUUUACCUAUCGUACUCAUCCUUUCUGCAAAUGCUUGAAAUAUCAAAAUUAGACUACCUGCUUAAAUUAAUUAAUUUGUUAUAUUUUAUCUGUAACAUGUACUUCACCCUAGUAUUACAUUUGUUAUGCAAUCUUGAAAAUUGUUUAAAAAAAAAAAGUAGUCACCUCUGCAACACUGUAUUUUGUAAUUGUGUAUGGAUUGUACAAAGCAUCCAAGUGAUUGCAUUCAGUUUUGUCUAACUUACAGUAUAUUUAUACUAUUUAGUUGGAAUUAUUUUAUCAUUGCAAAGUCUUAUAAUAUGUUCCAUUACCUUGUAGCACUAUUAGGUUUUAAUUAACUUAUUCUUUAAUGUCACUUUAGACUUCAUUCACCUCUGUGCUCUGAGUAACAAAUAACCCCAAUUUUUGCAUUAAUAAACU